GAUGAACGCUAGCGAUAGGCCUAACACAUGCAAGUCGAGGGGCAUCACAUGAAGUAGCAAUACGGAUGGUGGCGACCGGCGCACGGGUGAGUAACACGUAUGCAACCUGCCUUCAACAAGGGGAUAACCCGUUGAAAGACGGACUAAUACCCUAUAACACAGGGGUCCCGCAUGGGAAUAUUUGUUAAAGGACAACCGGUUGAAGAUGGGCAUGCGUUCCAUUAGCUAGUUGGCGGGGUAACGGCCCACCAAGGCAACGAUGGAUAGGGGAACUGAGAGGUUUAUCCCCCACACUGGUACUGAGACACGGACCAGACUCCUACGGGAGCAGCAGUGAGGAAUAUUGGUCAAUGGACGCAAGUCUGAACCAGCCACGUCGCGUGAAGGAAGACGGCCCUACGGGUUGUAAACUUCUUUUAUACGGGAAUAAAGUGCCCCACGCGUGGGGUUUUGCAUGUACCGUAUGAA
This 468-nucleotide ribosomal RNA is filed under the name uncultured bacterium. RNAcentral describes it as "bacterial SSU rRNA". It matches the Rfam family "Bacterial small subunit ribosomal RNA", at positions 28 to 486 of the family's 1533-position model. The record is from RNAcentral.